RNAcentral lists this ribosomal RNA (253 nucleotides) under uncultured bacterium. RNAcentral describes it as "partial 16S ribosomal RNA". It matches the Rfam family "Bacterial small subunit ribosomal RNA", at positions 524 to 776 of the family's 1533-position model. The record is from RNAcentral.
UACGUAGGGUGCAAGCGUUAAUCGGAAUUACUGGGCGUAAAGCGUGCGCAGGCGGUUGUGUAAGACAGGUGUGAAAUCCCCGGGCUUAACCUGGGAAUUGCAUUUGUGACUGCACGGCUAGAGUUUGGCAGAGGGGGGUAGAAUUCCACGUGUAGCAGUGAAAUGCGUAGAUAUGUGGAGGAACACCGGUGGCGAAGGCGGCAUCCUGGACCGACAUUGACGCUGAGGCGCGAAAGCUAGGGGAGCAAACGGG